RNAcentral lists this long non-coding RNA (1305 nucleotides) under Brassica napus (rape). RNAcentral describes it as "long non-coding RNA (BNAP_LNC019270)". The record is from RNAcentral. Lineage: Eukaryota; Viridiplantae; Streptophyta; Magnoliopsida; Brassicales; Brassicaceae.
GUUUAUUUUAUUCUCUGCCUCUACAACUUUACAUGCGGCGGUUAUUGCAGCUUCGUCGAUCAUCUCUUGUGAAACCGAAGGGGGUUGAUUGAUGUAUGAUUGCCGGGGUUUUACGUUUGUCUCCUUUGGUUUUGGGGUUGGGGCAGGUGUUGUUCUUGUUGUUGUUUCUGAUCCAUCUGGUAGCUUGUAGAAGUUCAGUAACUGUUGAGAGUUGGAAUAUAAACAAGACACAGAUUAAAAGAAAGAUGAAGAAACAUGUGACAGAGAAGAAAGAGAGGAGGCGUGCUUCAAAGACUUACAGGUUUUGAGUUGCUAACCUUUGAAAGUUUUCCCUGAGCUGCGAGCCGCCUCAGUCUUGAGCUAAGGACUCUUCUAAAAGUUGGCGGCACUUCAUGCCUUGGCUGCUCUUUCCACAAAUAAACCCACAAGGUCCGUUAGGAAAGGUUGUAGCAACUAACUUAAAAGUAGAAUCAAGAGAACUAUAACAAUGUGAAAAUAAACAUAACUAGCCCACCCUUAUAUGUAGUAGAUGAUGAGUCUCUACUAAACUGUUUAUCAGUUUACGAGGUUCUGACUUCUGAUCAAUGCCAAAAAAAAAAGAAGAGCAAAGAGAAAAUUGUAUCUAACCUCAAUGAAGCUGAAGAUGGAACCGACGUCAGAUCCAUUUGGAUCCGCUAACUCAGAGAUAGCUUCAAAUAUCAUCGCGUCAUACCUGAAAAUAGCAACUCAUUCAGAAGUUUAGCAAAGCAUGAUUGAUUAUCAUCUAAGGACAAACCUGGGAGCGUUCUUGUUAUCCACAACAAAGUUAUUAUCAACGCUAAAGUCAGAAGAAGCACUGCGUGGAAGGGAAGUAGCUGGCGAGGAGGAAGAAGAGUUAGCAUAAGGAGGUGGAGUAGCGGCAGCAGCAGUAGGUGAAAGAGAAGCAAGAGUAACGCCUUCUUCUUUGACUUUCCUCGUUCUCGACUUAUCAUUUGAGCAUUGAGUAGCAGGAGCAACACACAAGUGUUUAUGCAUCUCUUUAGCUAACUCCAGCAUAAGUUCGGUUUCAUCUGCAAGCUUAGUCGUCUUCUCCAACUCUUCCACUGCUGCUUUGGCGACGUUUAUUUUAUUCUCUGCCUCUACAACUUUACAUGCCGCGGUUAUUGCAGCUUCGUCGAUCAUCUCUUGUGAAACCGAAGGGGGUUGAUUGAUGUAUGAUUGCCGGGGUUUUACGUUUGUCUCCAUUGGUUUUGGGGUUGGGGCAGGUGUUGUUCUAGUUGUUGUUUCUGAUCCAUCUGGUAGCUUGUAGAAGUUCAGUAACUGUUG